GGGUUGUGAGGUUAAGCGACUAAGCGUACACGGUGGAUGCCCUGGCAGUCAGAGGCGAUGAAGGACGUGCUAAUCUGCGAUAAGCGUCGGUAAGGUGAUAUGAACCGUUAUAACCGGCGAUUUCCGAAUGGGGAAACCCAGUGUGUUUCGACACACUAUCAUUAACUGAAUCCAUAGGUUAAUGAGGCGAACCGGGGGAACUGAAACAUCUAAGUACCCCGAGGAAAAGAAAUCAACCGAGAUUCCCCCAGUAGCGGCGAGCGAACGGGGAGCAGCCCAGAGCCUGAAUCAGUGUGUGUGUUAGUGGAAGCGUCUGGAAAGGCGCGCGAUACAGGGUGACAGCCCCGUACACAAAAAUGCACAUGCUGUGAGCUCGAUGAGUAGGGCGGGACACGUGGUAUCCUGUCUGAAUAUGGGGGGACCAUCCUCCAAGGCUAAAUACUCCUGACUGACCGAUAGUGAACCAGUACCGUGAGGGAAAGGCGAAAAGAACCCCGGCGAGGGGAGUGAAAAAGAACCUGAAACCGUGUACGUACAAGCAGUGGGAGCACGCUUCGGCGUGUGACUGCGUACCUUUUGUAUAAUGGGUCAGCGACUUAUAUUCUGUAGCAAGGUUAACCGAAUAGGGGAGCCGAAGGGAAACCGAGUCUUAACUGGGCGUUAAGUUGCAGGGUAUAGACCCGAAACCCGGUGAUCUAGCCAUGGGCAGGUUGAAGGUUGGGUAACACUAACUGGAGGACCGAACCGACUAAUGUUGAAAAAUUAGCGGAUGACUUGUGGCUGGGGGUGAAAGGCCAAUCAAACCGGGAGAUAGCUGGUUCUCCCCGAAAGCUAUUUAGGUAGCGCCUCGUGAAUUCAUCUCCGGGGGUAGAGCACUGUUUCGGCAAGGGGGUCAUCCCGACUUACCAACCCGAUGCAAACUGCGAAUACCGGAGAAUGUUAUCACGGGAGACACACGGCGGGUGCUAACGUCCGUCGUGAAGAGGGAAACAACCCAGACCGCCAGCUAAGGUCCCAAAGUCAUGGUUAAGUGGGAAACGAUGUGGGAAGGCCCAGACAGCCAGGAUGUUGGCUUAGAAGCAGCCAUCAUUUAAAGAAAGCGUAAUAGCUCACUGGUCGAGUCGGCCUGCGCGGAAGAUGUAACGGGGCUAAACCAUGCACCGAAGCUGCGGCAGCGACGCUGAUGCGUUGUUGGGUAGGGGAGCGUUCUGUAAGCCUGUGAAGGUGUGCUGUGAGGCAUGCUGGAGGUAUCAGAAGUGCGAAUGCUGACAUAAGUAACGAUAAAGCGGGUGAAAAGCCCGCUCGCCGGAAGACCAAGGGUUCCUGUCCAACGUUAAUCGGGGCAGGGUGAGUCGACCCCUAAGGCGAGGCCGAAAGGCGUAGUCGAUGGGAAACAGGUUAAUAUUCCUGUACUUGGUGUUACUGCGAAGGGGGGACGGAGAAGGCUAUGUUGGCCGGGCGACGGUUGUCCCGGUUUAAGCGUGUAGGCUGGUUUUCCAGGCAAAUCCGGAAAAUCAAGGCUGAGGCGUGAUGACGAAGCACUACGGUGCUGAAGCAACAAAUGCCCUGCUUCCAGGAAAAGCCUCUAAGCAUCAGGUAACAUCAAAUCGUACCCCAAACCGACACAGGUGGUCAGGUAGAGAAUACCAAGGCGCUUGAGAGAACUCGGGUGAAGGAACUAGGCAAAAUGGUGCCGUAACUUCGGGAGAAGGCACGCUGAUAUGUAGGUGAAGUCCCUUGCGGAUGGAGCUGAAAUCAGUCGAAGAUACCAGCUGGCUGCAACUGUUUAUUAAAAACACAGCACUGUGCAAACACGAAAGUGGACGUAUACGGUGUGACGCCUGCCCGGUGCCGGAAGGUUAAUUGAUGGGGUCAGCGCAAGCGAAGCUCUUGAUCGAAGCCCCGGUAAACGGCGGCCGUAACUAUAACGGUCCUAAGGUAGCGAAAUUCCUUGUCGGGUAAGUUCCGACCUGCACGAAUGGCGUAAUGAUGGCCAGGCUGUCUCCACCCGAGACUCAGUGAAAUUGAACUCGCUGUGAAGAUGCAGUGUACCCGCGGCAAGACGGAAAGACCCCGUGAACCUUUACUAUAGCUUGACACUGAACAUUGAGCCUUGAUGUGUAGGAUAGGUGGGAGGCUUUGAAGUGUGGACGCCAGUCUGCAUGGAGCCGACCUUGAAAUACCACCCUUUAAUGUUUGAUGUUCUAACGUUGACCCGUAAUCCGGGUUGCGGACAGUGUCUGGUGGGUAGUUUGACUGGGGCGGUCUCCUCCUAAAGAGUAACGGAGGAGCACGAAGGUUGGCUAAUCCUGGUCGGACAUCAGGAGGUUAGUGCAAUGGCAUAAGCCAGCUUGACUGCGAGCGUGACGGCGCGAGCAGGUGCGAAAGCAGGUCAUAGUGAUCCGGUGGUUCUGAAUGGAAGGGCCAUCGCUCAACGGAUAAAAGGUACUCCGGGGAUAACAGGCUGAUACCGCCCAAGAGUUCAUAUCGACGGCGGUGUUUGGCACCUCGAUGUCGGCUCAUCACAUCCUGGGGCUGAAGUAGGUCCCAAGGGUAUGGCUGUUCGCCAUUUAAAGUGGUACGCGAGCUGGGUUUAGAACGUCGUGAGACAGUUCGGUCCCUAUCUGCCGUGGGCGCUGGAGAACUGAGGGGGGCUGCUCCUAGUACGAGAGGACCGGAGUGGACGCAUCACUGGUGUUCGGGUUGUCAUGCCAAUGGCACUGCCCGGUAGCUAAAUGCGGAAGAGAUAAGUGCUGAAAGCAUCUAAGCACGAAACUUGCCCCGAGAUGAGUUCUCCCUGACUCCUUGAGAGUCCUGAAGGAACGUUGAAGACGACGACGUUGAUAGGCCGGGUGUGUAAGCGCAGCGAUGCGUUGAGCUAACCGGUACUAAUGAACCGUGAGGCUUAACCUUACAACGCCGAAGAUGGUUU
Molecule: ribosomal RNA, 2932 nt
Filed under: Escherichia coli
Lineage: Bacteria; Pseudomonadati; Pseudomonadota; Gammaproteobacteria; Enterobacterales; Enterobacteriaceae
Description: 23S ribosomal RNA
Rfam family: Bacterial large subunit ribosomal RNA
Source: RNAcentral